GGAGAUAUUGGAUAUAGGUAAUUCAGUGCAUAAGAGCUGCAAUUCCUAUGUUGGCCAACAUAAGAAAUCAGUAAUUAACAUAUUACUAUGCUGCUAUUUGCAGUAUGGUAAUAUUUAUAAAAAAAAAAAAAAAAGUGAACAUGGUAGCCUCCUAGACUGGCUACA
Molecule: long non-coding RNA, 165 nt
Organism: Bufo bufo (common toad)
Lineage: Eukaryota; Metazoa; Chordata; Amphibia; Anura; Bufonidae
Exons: 3
Source: RefSeq, a predicted model, not a curated record